AAGUUCUAGGUCCAAUUCCAAGCCAUACAAAGUGUUAAGGGCACUUUAACACCCUUUGGGGGUGUUUAUGGUCUAAGAAUAUGUGUUUACGGUCCAAGAACCUUCUUGGGCCGUAAACUCAAGUUUGACACGUAAUUUCAUGCUUUGGUGCAUAUCAUGAAGGAAAAUAAGGCUCUAUGCACUCAAGGAAGUUCAUGGAAGCCCUUGGAGGUGUUUGAGGGGUAGUUUAACACUUAAACAAGUGUUUAUGGUCCAUGCAUAUGGGUUUAUGGUCUAAGAACAUCCUUACACCGUAAACUCAUGUUUACUCCCUAUUUGGUCCUAUUUUGGUAUUUUAAGUCCUUUCAGGUAAACCUCUAAGCCAUUGCUAAGCAUGACAAGUGUUUGGGAAGGGUUUUUGAGCAUUAAAACCCCCAUACAAGGGGUUUAUGGUUUUGGGAUGCUCCCAAGACCGUAAACUCAGGUUUUUGGGGUUUUUGGAUGAUUAAUUCAUGAAUUUGCAAGCUAGAUAAGUUAGAUAACAAGCUAGGAAUGUUUACUUACCGAUUUGAGGCUCGGAGAGGCGAUUUUUGACCAAAACCCGUUUCGUAGAGAGAGAAAGUAGAGAGAGAGAGUCUAAGGUGGGAAAAGGCUUCUAAGGAGUGUUCACCCACCCUUAUAUAGGGCUUGGGUGCAGUACCCGAUAUACGACUACCCGAUACUUAUGUUUAACGGGGUUUAGAAUUUUACCCGGUUAAAUGGCCGUAAAUAAAAAAUAAACUUUUUCCAAUAAAUGGAAAGAUGAUUUACCUGUUUUUAUUUUCGCUUGACGAAUAUUAAUUAAAAUAUUCCAACGGGUUGGCUAAUUUUUGACGUAAUUAAUUUCGACGUUAAAACUAACGAAAAUUUUUGGGUUGUCACAUCAUCCCCCCGUUAGAGGGAAUUUCGUCCCGAAAUUCAGGUUUAGGCAAGGAAGUAGGUAUGAAUGACCGAGUAAAGGUAUGAGGAUACUCCAUAUUCGGUUGGUCCUCGCACUCCCAAGUGAACUCUGGCCUUCGCUUGGCGUUCUAACGAACUUCACUUACGGGAUGCAGACCCCGUCUCAUGCAGUUAGCGAUUCCUACUGGUUCGUUUACGAAGUUAGGGUUCCCAAUGGUUCCUAUCAAGAUGAGUGGGAUACAAAGAGUCACGUUGGGCAAACACUGAUCAAGUCUAGAAACUUGUGGAAUAUUCGAAAGUAGUAGUGGUUUGACGAGGUUUGGACCAAUCUUCGUAAAGAAUCUCGGAUGGUCCGAAGCUCUCGGAAGGGUAGAGCUCUUCAGUACUUAGAACAUAGUGUACUUCUAUGGCGAGAUCAUCACUGGCGUGAUUUCCAUUUCGAAGUUCCAACGUUCUCUCUCAUACUGGAAGUGUAGUCCUUCAGGUGGGUUCCUAGAAAGCUCUGGCUGUCCUUGGAUUUUGUGUUUCUACUGUUUGACUUUCAGAGGUUUUCUGGGUUAUCGAAUGGAUUGCAUGUCUACGGGUAUCUGUUUGCUGUAGAGUGGCUAUCUCAAUCUUGUGCAAAAUGAACCUGCACUUCUAAUUCUUGAGAUAUUUCUAACAGAAACCUUCAGGGUCGGGGAAAUAGGGUUUCACCAGACGAGUGUCGGACUAUCUCGGGAGGUGGUUCCACUAUUUUUGUGCAAGAUAGUAUUCGUGGAACACCUAGUAGUCCAAUGAAUCUUGUAAGACAUGCCCUAAUCUCUAAGGCGCUGGUUUAUUUCAGUUGCAGAAAGCGUGUGCUCUUGUAUAACCCAUCGACUAACACCUAGACUGGUGUCAAGUCUAUAAUCUCUUCGGGAUCUGGGUUAUAAGGCUUAACACAACCUACUUUCGCACUUUAUUCAAGUAUUUUUGGCUGCGGAGAUUAUCCUGUAGUUCUGGGUAUUCUAGUGUUCCACUUUAGAGAAUGUAGUCUGUCGUCUAUAGGGCGACGGUGACUUCCUCCACGUAAGGGGGCGGAGGGUUUCUAGGCACUACUCGUCAGUACCGGGGUGGACGAAGUGCCUGAGUAGUGCGAACAUCUUCUGCAACUACUCUUCCGAAGGUUCUGAGUUUUCUCGGUCUAGGUCAAAUCUAGUGAGUAUAGGGUUCCAUCACUCGGAACUUUAAUUUCCUCAUCCACUCUUCUCAGAGUUCAAUUCAUCGCAACUUUCGGAUUUCCGGGAUAUUCGCUGAGAUGCUUAAUUCGGGGGAUUAAGCGUGAAUGGAUGGUCGUAGUAAAUGUCCUUGACUCUUACGACUCAGAUUUCUUUACUAACUGGGGGUGUUAGCUACUAUAUUGGCUUAACCGGGAUGACAACAAAUUUCGGAUUUGUGGUCAUUAUAGUAGCUCAACCCGCCGUGGUUCUCUUGACUCUAGCUCCUAUUCUAUGGAAUAGGAUGAAGGGCUUUACUAUGAGGUUCGUGGUAGAGCUCAUACUUGGCUUAACUACUAAUACUUGGUGUAUCCAAGUCGUAUAUAAUUGAGGUCCGCAGGAUGUUCAGUUGUGCGACUCCACCCCAGACCCACAACCCAACGAGGAACAGGGAAUAGGGAGGAAGCACACAUCUUAAAUCUUUUUGAUCUCAAUUAUAUACCACCCUUAUGCAUAUACUCAGUUAUAGUAGUGAGUCCCAUGAGUUCUAUUCUCUUGAUUCACGAACCUGAUUGCGAGGUGCGAAUGGUCUUUCUGGGUUUCUACGGUGCCUGCUUCGGGUGGUUAUCGUCUUCUGGAAUGCCUGCAGUGCCUUUCGCUUCGGUUUCUAUCUGUCUAAGAGGGGUUGGUUAACAACGCGCGGUACCUUCUCCUAGGUACUUCAGACGGUUUGGAAUACGAGUGACGACUGACGGAUCGCAUUAGGUUUUAUUAUUCUUAUUUUGUUUAGGUUCGGAAGAACCUUUAUUUGCCGAAAUGGCUACGGAGAAAGUUCUUUUUACACAACACUAGGGAUUUACACAUGGUUGCACGAAGUCGAACCAUGAUUGAUAGAGUCGUCGAAGUUGGCAUACUUCGACAUGAUAUAGAAUGAGAGUCGAUAGGGUCAUGUGCCGAACGAGCACACCAGUUCUAGGCGUCUAGGGUUUCAUCCUGUGUAUCUAUGUCGCAGAUACCUGGACCGAUAAAGUCGACGCGGAACUGUAGAGAGUAGAGUACCUUUUCAUGAAUGGAUUCUCACGAGACAUUUCUAUAAUCGCCUAACAUAUACUAGUCAUGUAUAAUUAAGGUGGGGAGGACUGUUGACUGAGCGACUCCGCCCUAAAUCCACAACCAAACGAGGAACAGGAAAUGAGGCGGCAUUCACUCACUCUAGGUCUAUCCAUCUUAAUUAUACAUUGUCGUUACGUAUAUACUUAGCCAUUAUAGUUUUACCUGAUGAAAAUUUUAAAUUUUAUAACAGUGCUGCGACUUUCGCCUUAAUGGGGAAGUAAUUACAUUUAGAAUUAGCCUUUUAAUGUUUUCGGUUAAUUAUCUGAGAUUGAGAGACGCACCAAAAAUCUACUGGUUUCCUUGAUGCUUCUCCCUAAGCAUUAGAGUUAGACUCUUCCUGUACCCCUGUCGUUUCUCCUGCAGCAGUGAUCCUUAGUAUCCUCCCGUCUGCGCCGGAGUUCUUUAUUAUUGGACAAUCCCUUUUGAGGUGUCCCGUCUCACCGCACUGAUGACAUGCCUGGUUCGUACUAGUAUUGGUAGUAGGAGUGAGGUGCUUAGUCAGGGUUACGUGGACACGGGUGCCCUCCUCGUUCCUCCACUUUGAAAAUUUCCCUUUAAAGAGUCCGACUUUGACACCACCAUUUUGUGUAGGGUUGGACCCGAUGCCAGGGACUUGUGGAAGGGGGCGUGCUGGCGCUGAAGGGGUGGGGGUUUCCACUUGCUGAUGUUGCGCAACAAGUUUGUGGAGUCGUUGGCGCUCCUUUCGAGCUUGACGAUUCCGUUUCCUCUUCUCUGUUUUACCACUUUGCAUGUUCGUGACUGUCGCCAUUCGUUGGUUUCCUAGGUUUGGUCUUGUAGGUGUUGGGAUGGAAGGGUUGGUAGGGGUAUUGACUGCCUCAGCUCGUUGCCCUUCGGAAGGUCCUUGAGCCGAGGUACUUCCCUCCUUGAUCUCGAACUUUCUCUUCAUUGGAUUUGGUUGAGGUUCUUGGGUGGCUGGGUAUGCAGGUGUUGGUUGCUGCUGUCCAUUGAUGGGAUCGGGAUUCCCGAUAGGGCUCUUGCUAACACUUGCAUUGUUAGCAUUCAGUUGAGCCAUGGCAGCUACAACGGUUGCUGAGACUGCAGCCUGGAAAGUAGCUUCAUCGAAUAGGAGAGUCGGUUUCCUGCCAGCGGAUGGGUUACGCUUCUUCGGAGGCAUGGUUUUUCCUACAUGGAAAGGAACACAAGCUGAUGAGAGACGAUGGUUAACCCUGGACGUAUCAAUCCUUACUAUAUUAGGCAUAAAUUUUUUUUCCGUGCUUCGGAUACUGGUUGUCUGAGUGUCGACCUACAUCCCUAUGAUGUAGUCCUGGUAUUCAAGGUAGAAGCGUGAGUAUCGGAAAAGCCAUAAGGUGGAAGUCGUUCCUACUAAGUUACCUUUAUACUGGGAAAGGUUCACUCUCCGGUUUGGAAAGAUUUGAGAACAGUUCGGAACGAAAACCGCGGGAAAGAAGGCUCAUGAAGACUUAUGGCUAAAUACUCUCAAUAGAGGUGCGGGGAUCCGCUCUAAUCGUAUUACUUGCAACGUGAGAAGGCGUUUUACCUAACACAUGGCGUGAGUAGUGUAAUCACUAACUCACUAAAUUGUAUUAUUUUAUGGGUGUAUUAGCGUGACGAACACGAGGAAAAGACACUUCUCGGGUUCCAUGUACUGGCUCCCUCUGUCUACCUCGUAUCUUUGACUGGGACCGGCGUUGGUUUCCUUCGGGCAGUUACCUAGGGUUUUCCUCUCCUAUAGACAUAUUGAAUUUCUGCCCCGUCUUACUUCCAAUUCCGACUCCGGGUGUCACCACUUCAUGAUGGACGACUGGGAAUCUCGGAAGUUUAGGCGAAUUUCCCACCGGUGUCCCUAAAAGAUAUAGGCACUUGGUGGUUUCAAUAGUCUCGGCCUAGUUCAUUUAUUUCCGAACUGGAAAUCUUCUCAAUGAACCUCUUUUGGGUUUGAAUCACCUCUUCUGCCGAGUAUUGAAGUGGAUAGGGUUUUCUACAGGGUUCGUGCGAGAAUAGAAAUGUUUAAAGAAUCCUAAGAGAUUAUUAACAUUUCACUGGGUGAUCCAUCUCGAGUCCUGCUACGAUUACACAGGGUAUACAAAUCAUAUAUAGCUUAGAUCCGACAGGCCUUCGAAUAUGUGAUACUACUCUAUAUCCACAUCCCAACGAGGAAAAGGAAGUAGAGCGAAACCACACAUUCUUAGCCUAUGGGAUCCUUAUUAUAUAUAACCUUGGGAGUAUACCCUCUAUAAUUGUAGGUAUAUCAAUAAGGAUCUUUUUAGUUCUUCACACAAGGUUGUCUAUGGAUCCUAAAAUACCCCUAUGGUAUUUUAAUUUCUUGUUUGUUUCUUAACUUCUGAAUAUGAUUCUGGGAUUAAUGUGAGUCUUUUAGUAUUCCAAAAUACUCCCAUAGUAUUUUAAACAUUAUGUUUGGCUCUAUCAUUCCUGGUUGGUAAGUUUCAGACCUGUUGCAACACCACUAUCAUUCCCAAGCACACGUUCAUCGCAUCUCGAAUAAAUGUAGUUGAUCAGGUUACAUUUAUUCCAACUUACGAUUACAUAACUACCCAGGUUUGACGGUAAUGCUCAACAUCCGAAGACUUUUAUUCUUGUUCUUCUUGUGAUACUUGUGUUCGAGUGUUUAGAUUCUGGAUGUUCUUAUACUUUGGUAAAAUAUGGUUAUAUUUUAAAGUAUAAUUCUUGGUCAGAGUGUUUUAUCCCUAUGUAUUUAUAGGCUGUAUAUCUUUUAUGAAUUGAUAUACUGAGCUCACUAUAAACAAUGCUCUGAUACCAAUCUGUCACACCCCAAAACCGGAACGGCGGAAACGUUCUGGGGUGGAUGACGUCAUGUCAAGUAUCACAACAUAUGCAGUAUAGUAAUCAAAGUACAACAACCAUUGCAUUAAUAGUAAUAGUUUUACAUGGUUUACAUUACAUAGAAACAUCAAAGUAAUACAAGUANGCCUGAGAUGUACCUGUCUAUUGCUGACCUGAGAAUACAAGUUAUUUUGAAAGCGAGUAUCAACAUUUUUAUAAAUGUUGGUGAGUUCAUAAGUAUUUAGUGUCAUUUGUGUAAGUAAGCAUUUUAUUCAAAAUAACUCUAUAAAAAGUAGUAGUUUAGAGUCUACAGUGUAUUAGAGUCCUUUCCAGAAAAUCCUAUAUUUUCUAAAUAAAAGCAGUCUUCUACCAAGACUGGACAGAGUUAUGUUGUAAAAAGUAAUUUUCCCUUAAACACUAUCAUUACCAAAAUACGGUAUUUGAUUUUUAAGAAAGUAGGAGGAUAUUAGGGAAAAUAACAUAUGCCUCAACAGAGAAUACUGCUGACUAAGGCAAAAGAAAUCAUAGACUCCAGGAGAGUAUCGAAUGAACGACACGCCUGGCUCAGUCUAACAAAAGGAGAUACAGACUCCAGACGGUAUCAAAUGCAUGAUACGUCUAGCAAGGUCUAAAACAGAGAGACACAGACCCCAGACAGUAUCAAUUUAAUGAUACGUCUAGCAAGGUCUAAAAACAGUAAACACAGACCCCAGACAGUAUCAAAUGAAUGAUACGUCUAGCAAGAUCAAAAAACAGUGAAUAUAGUGUUAAUUUCCGUUACCUUAAGGUCAUGAAUUAUAAGGUAACCCCGAGAUACUCGUAACCAUACUGAUAGACACUAGAGAACUUGACGCCCUGCAAGCGUCGGAAAGAAUGUGACAUUUGUCACCCCUUGGCUUGGUAGGCCGCGGACUGUAGCUAGCAGUCAGGGUGUGGGGGUGUCAAUCUCGUAUAGAUCUAUACACACAAUGCCCGCUCUCCCUACAAGAGACUCUGGUUACCAACUAGACAACGGAGAAGGUCGUGUCCUGAAGAUGCGUCUCGUGUAGUGAGUGCUGAUGUAAAUACUGGACUAAUGAUAGAGACUCACAAAUAAACUGACCGACGUAAACCUAUAUGUCUAUGCCUGUAUACAUAAUAUAUAAUUAAUGAUCAAACGACCUUCGGACGGAUAUCCGAUCCCACCAUACCACAUCUCAACGAAGAAAAGGAAAUAGGGCGAACUAGAGAACUUGACUCCCUGCAAGCGUCGGAAAGAAUGUGACAUUUGUCACCCCUUGGCUUGGUAGGCCGCGGACUGUAGCUAGCAGUCAGGGUGUGGGGGUGUCAAUCUCGUAUAGAUCUAUACACACAAUGCCCGCUCUCCCUACAAGAGACUCUGGUUACCAACUAGACAACGGAGAAGGCCGUGUCCUGAAUGUAAAUACUGGACUAAUGAUAGAGACUCACAAAUAAACUGACCGACGUAAACCUAUAUGUCGAUGCCUGUAUACAUAAUAUAUAAUUAAUGAUCAAACGACCUUCGGACGGAUAUCCGAUCCCACCAGACCACGUCUCAACGAAGAAAAGGAAAUAGAGCGAACUAGCCUUCCUAAGUCCUUUAAACAUUAUUUAUAUAACUAUCCAAGCACAAGCAUACAUUUAACUAAGUAGAAGCAUUUAACGAAGUUGAAGUGUUUAUCGAAGUAGAAGUGUUUCACGAAGUCGAAGCGUUAACAAGUAGAAGCAUAUCACUAAGUAGAAGCGUAUCAAGAAGUAAAAGCGUUAACAAGUAGGAGCGUAUCACUAAGUAGAAGCGUAUCAAGAAGUAAAAGCGUUAAGAAGUAGGAGUAUUUAACUAAGUAGGAGCGUAUAACGAAGCAGUAGUAUCUAACAAAGUAGGAGUAUAAAAAAACAUGGGAGAAAACUUUGAUGAAAACUUUGGAAAACCUUUAUACUUUAAGAAAAUCAUGACUUGGUAUUCUUUUGUAAAAUAAGUUUGAAAACCUUUAGAAACACUUGAAAAUCUUUUAUAAAUAAGUUUUGAUUAUAACUUUGAUAAAACAAUAUAAGUAAUGAAAACCUUUGUUCAAAAUGCUGCUGUAACUGAAUUUGAAAUAAAAUAUACAGCGCGAGAGACAAUUUAAGAAGAGCUUUGAAUAAUUAAAAACGUCUUAGAAAACCAUUUACAAUAUCAUUCUUGGUAAAACAGUUGACAAUGUAAGAAAUCCUUGUGCAUGCGGGUUAUCAAUCACAUGUGAUUGAUAUGAUAACUGGCAUGUUUUAACUUGUAUCCCCCCCACCCCGUAAAAGCAUGUAAAAACAUUUAAAAGGUUAAUUCAGGAGUAUGAACUCACUUGUUGUAAGUGGAUCGGGUGAAGGUGCCGGUAUAGGAUGCUAAGUGUCAAGUGAGGACUUGACCACACACGCGAAUCCUAUUUAACAUGUAAUGAUACAUUUAAGUAUCUAAUUAGUCAUUUAAUAACUAAUUAAGUAAGUAAGGAUGUCUUACGACAUGAAAACACUUUGCUACAAGUGCUAGAAGUGUCCCGGGUAACAUCUAAGGGUGUGUAUGGCCUAGAUAGGGAGUUUACUCUUCAAGAGUAAACUCUUUAUAGAGUUUACGGCCCUAAGACCUUGUCCCCAUGAGUUUACGGUCGUAAACUCAUGGAUGGUGUGCUCUUUGAUGCAUUAAGGUCUUAUAACACUUGUGGAAUUAGGCUAGGUUCAAUUCUAGGGCUUAUGAAGGGUUUAAGGCUUCAAAAUGGCCAUUUAAGGAGUUUACGGCCUAAGACUACUCCUUGAGGAGUUUAUGACCGUAAACACAUGAGUUUAUGGUAGUAAACUCAUGUUGGUCCAUUUCUUUUGUAGUUUGCUGGUUCUAACUCAUGCAUGUAAGGUUCUAGUCACUUUUAGGAGCAUAGGAAGGUGUUUAGGGCACUUAAACACCUUGGAAAGGUGUUUACGGUCUAAGGAGAUGUUCUUGGGGAGUUUACUACCUUAAACACAUGAGUUUAUGGUAGUAAACUCAUUUUGUCCAUGAACCCUACGUUUUGGUGGUUGUAGGUUAAGCAUACAAAGUUCUAGGUCCAAUUCCAAGCCAUACAAAGUGUUAAGGGCACUUUAACACCCUUUGGGGGUGUUUAUGGUCUAAGAAUAGAUGUUUACGGUCCAAGAACCUUCUUCGGUCGUAAAAUCAAGUGUGACACGUAAUUGCAUGCUUUGGUGCAUAUCAUGAAGGAAAAUAAGGCUCUAUGCACUCAAGGAAGUUCAUGGAAGCCCUUGGAGGUGUUUGAGGGGUAGUUUAACACUUAAACAAGUGUUUAUGGUCCAUGCAUAUGGGUUUACGGUCUAAGAACAUCCUUAGACCGUAAAAUCAUGUUUACUCCCCAUUUGGUCCGAUUUUGGUGUUCUAAGUCCUUUUGGGUAAGCCUCUAAGCCAUUGCUAAGCAUGACAAGUGUUUGGGAAGAGUUUUUGAGCAUUAAAACCCCCAUCCAAGGGGUUUACGGUUUUGGGAUGCUCCCAAGACCGUAAACUCAGGUUCUUGGGGUUUUUG
RNAcentral lists this long non-coding RNA (9529 nucleotides) under Lactuca sativa (garden lettuce). RNAcentral's name for it is "long non-coding RNA (LSAT_LNC007815)". Lineage: Eukaryota; Viridiplantae; Streptophyta; Magnoliopsida; Asterales; Asteraceae. The record is from RNAcentral.